GAUGAAGAACGUAGCGAAAUGCGAUACGUAAUGUGAAUUGCAGAAUUCAGUGAAUCAUCGAGUCUUUGAACGCACAUUGCGCCCCCUGGUAUUCCGGGGGGCAUGCCUGUCCGAGCGUCAUUGCUGCCCUCAAGCACGGCUUGUGUGUUGGGCCUCCGUCCUCCUCCCUGGGGACGGGCCCGAAAGGCAGCGGCGGCACCGCGUCCGGUCCUCGAGCGUAUGGGGCUUCGUCACCCGCUCUUGUAGGCCCGGCCGGCGCUUGCCGACACAUCAAUCUUUUUUCCAGGUUGACCUCGGAUCAGGUAGGGAUACCCGCUGAACUUAAGCAUAUCAAUAAGCGGAGGA
This 345-nucleotide unclassified non-coding RNA is filed under the name soil metagenome. RNAcentral's name for it is "partial contains 5.8S ribosomal RNA, internal transcribed spacer 2, and large subunit ribosomal RNA". The stretch from base 1 to 120 matches the Rfam family "5.8S ribosomal RNA", at positions 35 to 154 of the family's 154-position model. The record is from RNAcentral.